UACGUAGGGUGCAAGCGUUGUCCGGAAUUAUUGGGCGUAAAGAGCUCGUAGGCGGUCUGUCGCGUCGAAUGUGAAAACCCGGGGCUCAACCCCGGGCCUGCAUUCGAUACGGGCGGGCUAGAGUUCGGUAGGGGAGACUGGAAUUCCUGGUGUAGCGGUGAAAUGCGCAGAUAUCAGGAGGAACACCGGUGGCGAAGGCGGGUCUCUGGGCCGAUACUGACGCUGAGGAGCGAAAGCGUGGGGAGCGAACAGG
This 253-nucleotide ribosomal RNA is filed under the name uncultured bacterium. RNAcentral describes it as "partial 16S ribosomal RNA". It matches the Rfam family "Bacterial small subunit ribosomal RNA", at positions 524 to 776 of the family's 1533-position model. The record is from RNAcentral.